UACGUAGGGGGCAAGCGUUGUCCGGAUUUAUUGGGCGUAAAGAGCGUGUAGGCGGCUUGGUAGGUCCGCUGUGAAAACUCGAGGCUCAACCUCGAGACGCCGGUGGAAACCAUCAGGCUAGAGUCCGGAAGAGGAGAGUGGAAUUCCUGGUGUAGCGGUGAAAUGCGCAGAUAUCAGGAAGAACACCCGUGGCUAAGGCGGCUCUCUAGUACGGUACUGACGCUGAGACGCGAACGCGUGGGGAGCGAACAGG
This 253-nucleotide ribosomal RNA is filed under the name uncultured bacterium. Its description in RNAcentral is "partial 16S ribosomal RNA". It matches the Rfam family "Bacterial small subunit ribosomal RNA", at positions 524 to 776 of the family's 1533-position model. The record is from RNAcentral.